GACGAACGCUGGCGGCGUGCCUAAUACAUGCAAGUCGAACGCAUUUUCUUUCACCGUAGCUUGCUACACCGAAAGAAAAUGAGUGGCGAACGGGUGAGUAACACGUGGGUAACCUGCCCAUCAGCGGGGGAUAACACUUGGAAACAGGUGCUAAUACCGCAUAAUUCCAUUUACCGCAUGGUAGAUGGAUGAAAGGCGCUUUUGCGUCACUGAUGGAUGGACCCGCGGUGCAUUAGCUAGUUGGUGGGGUAACGGCCUACCAAGGCUGCGAUGCAUAGCCGACCUGAGAGGGUGGUCGGCCACACUGGGACUGAGACACGGCCCAGACUCCUACGGGAGGCAGCAGUAGGGAAUCUUCGGCAAUGGACGCAAGUCUGACCGAGCAACGCCGCGUGAGUGAAGAAGGUUUUCGGAUCGUAAAACUCUGUUGUUAGAGAAGAACAAGGAUGAGAGUGGAAAGUUCAUCCCUUGACGGUAUCUAACCAGAAAGCCACGGCUAACUACGUG
This 507-nucleotide ribosomal RNA is filed under the name uncultured bacterium. RNAcentral describes it as "partial 16S ribosomal RNA". It matches the Rfam family "Bacterial small subunit ribosomal RNA", at positions 28 to 507 of the family's 1533-position model. The record is from RNAcentral.